RNAcentral lists this ribosomal RNA (497 nucleotides) under uncultured bacterium. RNAcentral describes it as "partial 16S ribosomal RNA". It matches the Rfam family "Bacterial small subunit ribosomal RNA", at positions 28 to 507 of the family's 1533-position model. The record is from RNAcentral.
GAUGAACGCUGGCGGCGUGCCUAAUACAUGCAAGUCGAGCGAACGGACGAGGAGCUUUCUUCACUGAUGUUAGCGGCGGACGGGUGAGUAACACGUGGAUAACCUACCUAUAAGACUGGGAUAACUUCGGGAAACCGGAGCUAAUACCGGAUAAUAGUUUGAACCUCAUGGUUCAAAAGUGAAAGACGGUCUUGCUGUCACUUAUAGAUGGAUCCGCGCUGCUUUAGCUAGGUGGUAAGGUAACGGCUUACCAAGGCAACGAUGCAUAGCCGACCUGAGAGGGGGAGCAGCCACACUAGAACUGAGACACGAUCCAGACUCCUACGGGAGGCAGCGGUGCGGAAUCGUCCGCAAUGGGCGAAAGCCUAGCGGAGCAACGCCGCGUGAGUGAUGAAGGUCUUCGGAUCGUAAAACUCUGUUAUUAGGGAAGAACAUAUGUGUAAGUAACUGUGCAGAUCUUGACGGUACCUAAUCAGAAAGCCACGGCUAACUACGUG